This 162-nucleotide unclassified non-coding RNA is filed under the name uncultured Ascomycota. RNAcentral describes it as "sequence contains ITS2". The record is from RNAcentral. Lineage: Eukaryota; Fungi; Ascomycota.
CAAACCCUCAAGCACCGCUUGGCCAUGGGCGUCCACGCCCCCCGCACGUCGGGGGGCGCGCCCCAAAGACCUCGGCGGUGGCACCGAGCCUCUGAGCGCAGUAGAAACACCCCGCUCACCGAGGCCCGGCGUCGCCCGCCCCCAGUCCCCCAACACCUUCAA